This 253-nucleotide ribosomal RNA is filed under the name uncultured bacterium. Its description in RNAcentral is "partial 16S ribosomal RNA". It matches the Rfam family "Bacterial small subunit ribosomal RNA", at positions 524 to 776 of the family's 1533-position model. The record is from RNAcentral.
UACGGAGGGUGCAAGCGUUAUCCGGAUUCACUGGGUUUAAAGGGUGCGUAGGUGGGCUAGUAAGUCAGUGGUGAAAUCUCCGGGCUUAACCCGGAAACUGCCAUUGAUACUAUUAGUCUUGAAUACCAUGGAGGUGAGCGGAAUAUGUCAUGUAGCGGUGAAAUGCUUAGAUAUGACAUAGAACACCAAUUGCGAAGGCAGCUCGCUACGCGGUUAUUGAUACUGAGGCACGAAAGCGUGGGGAUCAAACAGG